Molecule: small nuclear RNA, 22 nt
Filed under: Arabidopsis thaliana (thale cress)
Lineage: Eukaryota; Viridiplantae; Streptophyta; Magnoliopsida; Brassicales; Brassicaceae
Description: snRNA_13274
Source: RNAcentral
CGGGAAGUAGUCGCUGCUCUGU